RNAcentral lists this ribosomal RNA (253 nucleotides) under uncultured bacterium. Its description in RNAcentral is "partial 16S ribosomal RNA". It matches the Rfam family "Bacterial small subunit ribosomal RNA", at positions 524 to 776 of the family's 1533-position model. The record is from RNAcentral.
UACGUAGGGGGCUAGCGUUGUUCGGAAUUACUGGGCGUAAAGCGCACGUAGGCGGCUUUGUAAGUCAGAGGUGAAAGCCCGGGGCUCAACUUCGGAAUUGCCUUUAAGACUGCAUCGCUAGAAUUGUGGAGAGGUAAGUGGAAUUCCGAGUGUAGAGGUGAAAUUCGUAGAUAUUCGGAAGAACACCAGUGGCGAAGGCGACUUACUGGACACAUAUUGACGCUGAGGUGCGAAAGCGUGGGGAGCAAACAGG